This 428-nucleotide ribosomal RNA is filed under the name uncultured prokaryote. RNAcentral's name for it is "bacterial SSU rRNA". It matches the Rfam family "Bacterial small subunit ribosomal RNA", at positions 355 to 774 of the family's 1533-position model. The record is from RNAcentral.
UGGGGAAUCUUCCGCAAUGGGCGAAAGCCUGACGGAGCAACGCCGCGUGAAUGAAGAAGGCCUUCGGGUCGUAAAGUUCUGUCUUUUGGGAAGAAGGCCCUUGAGGUAAAUAAUCUUGAGGGAUGACAGUACCAGAGGAGGAAGCUCCGGCUAACUACGUGCCAGCAGCCGCGGUAAUACGUAGGGAGCGAGCGUUGUCCGGAAUUACUGGGCGUAAAGGGCGCGUAGGCGGGUAUUUAAGUCAGAUGUGAAAGCCCCGGGUGUAACUCGGGGAUUGCAGUUGAAACUGGGUAUCUUGAGGGCAGGAGAGGAAAGUGGAAUUCCUAGUGUAGCGGUGGAAUGCGUAGAUAUUAGGAGGAACACCAGUGGCGAAGGCGACUUUCUGGACUGUACCUGACGCUGAGGCGCGAAAGCAUGGGGAGCAAACG